AGCAUGAUGCUGAAGAUAUCAAGACGGGUACCCUCCCCAAGGACA
RNAcentral lists this transfer RNA (45 nucleotides) under Strigops habroptila (Kakapo). Its description in RNAcentral is "partial tRNA-Phe". The record is from RNAcentral. Lineage: Eukaryota; Metazoa; Chordata; Aves; Psittaciformes; Psittacidae.